GAAUAUUGGACAAUGGGGGAAACCCUGAUCCAGCGACGCCGCGUGGGUGAAGAAGGCCUGCGGGUUGUAAAGCCCUUUCAGUGGGGAAGAAAAGCCUCGAGUUAACACCUCGGGGUCUUGACGUAACCCAUAGAAGAAGCACCGGCUAACUCUGUGCCAGGAGCCGCGGUAAUACAGAGGGUGCAAGCGUUAAUCGGAAUUACUGGGCGUAAAGCGCGCGUAGGUGGUUGGUUAAGUUGGAUGUGAAAGCCCCGGGCUCAACCUGGGAACUGCAUCCAAAACUGGCCGACUAGAGUACAGUAGAGGGUGGUGGAAUUUCCUGUGUAGCGGUGAAAUGCGUAGAUAUAGGAAGGAACACCAGUGGCGAAGGCGACCACCUGGACUGAUACUGACACUGAGGUGCGAAAGCGUGGGGAGCAAACAGG
RNAcentral lists this ribosomal RNA (425 nucleotides) under uncultured bacterium. RNAcentral's name for it is "bacterial SSU rRNA". It matches the Rfam family "Bacterial small subunit ribosomal RNA", at positions 359 to 776 of the family's 1533-position model. The record is from RNAcentral.